RNAcentral lists this ribosomal RNA (564 nucleotides) under uncultured Glomeromycotina. Its description in RNAcentral is "SSU rRNA". It matches the Rfam family "Eukaryotic small subunit ribosomal RNA", at positions 548 to 1114 of the family's 1831-position model. Lineage: Eukaryota; Fungi; Glomeromycota. The record is from RNAcentral.
UUGGAGGGCAAGUCUGGUGCCAGCAGCCGCGGUAAUUCCAGCUCCAAUAGCGUAUAUUAAAGUUGCUGCAGUUAAAAAGCUCGUAGUUGAAUUUCGGGACCAAUAUGUCGGUCGUGCCUCGGUACGUACUGGCAUCGUUGGUUUCUCCCUUCUGACGAACCAUGAUGUCAUUUAUUUGGUGUCGUGGGGAAUCAGGACUGUUACUUUGAAAAAAUUAGAGUGUUUAAAGCAGGCUCACGCUUGAAUACAUUAGCAUGGAAUAAUGAAAUAGGACAUUUGAUUCUAUUUUGUUGGUUUCUAGGAUCGACGUAAUGAUUAAUAGGGAUAGUUGGGGGCAUUAGUAUUCAAUUGUCAGAGGUGAAAUUCUUGGAUUUAUUGAAGACUAACUACUGCGAAAGCAUUUGCCAAGGAUGUUUUCAUUAAUCAAGAACGAAAGUUAGGGGAUCGAAGACGAUCAGAUACCGUCGUAGUCUUAACCAUAAACUAUGCCGACUAGGGAUCGGAUGAUGUUAAUUUUUUAAUGACUCAUUCGGCGCCUUACGGGAAACCAAAGUGUUUGGGUUC